Molecule: unclassified non-coding RNA, 332 nt
Filed under: soil metagenome
Description: partial contains 5.8S ribosomal RNA, internal transcribed spacer 2, and large subunit ribosomal RNA
Rfam family: 5.8S ribosomal RNA (bases 1-120)
Source: RNAcentral
GAUGAAGAACGUAGUAAAAUGCGAUAAGUAAUGUGAAUUGCAGAAUUCAGUGAAUCAUCGAAUCUUUGAACGCACAUUGCGCCCGCCAGUAUUCUGGCGGGCAUGCCUGUUCGAGCGUCAUUUCAACCCUCAAGCACAGCUUGGUGUUGGGACUCGCGUUAAUUCGCGUUCCUCAAAUUGAUUGGCGGUCACGUCGAGCUUCCAUAGCGUAGUAGUAAAACCCUCGUUACUGGUAAUCGUCGCGGCCACGCCGUUAAACCCCAACUUCUGAAUGUUGACCUUGGAUCAGGUAGGAAUACCCGCUGAACUUAAGCAUAUCAAUAAGCGGAGGA